Molecule: long non-coding RNA, 1195 nt
Organism: Eriocheir sinensis (Chinese mitten crab)
Lineage: Eukaryota; Metazoa; Arthropoda; Malacostraca; Decapoda; Varunidae
Exons: 8
Source: RefSeq, a predicted model, not a curated record
CAAUUUAAACCCGUAAAAACAGUAACCACAUUUUCAUCAAGUAUUCUCCGCCAUUAAAACACAAUUAAAAAAAUAAAUAAGGAAAUAACACUAUGCAGGUCAAAGAAGAAGAAGAGGAAGACAAGAUGGCCGCCGACCUCUGCCCCAGCCGAGCCAGUCCACACUUUUUCGCCAUUCCAAGCCUUGUGGAGGGUGUGAGGUCUGUUAGGAAGUGACAAUCGUUCUCUCAGGCUUUCGACACCACAAGCAGCCGCCGGGAACCCUGCUGGUCAUACGGGGAAGGUCCCUGCCUCCCCUGGGGGCAGACUCCUGGCUGGUGGCUGUCCUCCUCACACCUCCUGCCUCCACAUGUCUUCUCAAAGGUCCCUGCCUCCCCUGGGGGCAGACUCCUGGCUGGUGGCUGUCCUCCUCACACCUCCUGCCUCCACAUGUCUUCUCAAAGGUCUUUUUGGUGGUCGGGCUGUGAGUCUCCCAGCCUUGCCGAUGGAAGAUUCUCCUCCCCGGCCUUCCUCCUCCUUCAGGUCUUCCAGCUGGUCUCCUCCCGUGUACCUCCACAACUCCUCUGGAAGGUGGAGAGGGAGGAGUGCGGACAAUAACGCUGCCUGUUCAGUGUGGGCCCCAAACACCUAAAUGCCAAGGAAGAGAACAUGAAGGUGACGGCAAUGAGAGAGGAGGAGGCAGAGGACGAGGGAAUGAUUUAAAUGCUGCGGAAGAGAGCUGUCUGGGAACUGGCUUGAAGAGAGAUAAGAAGAAGAAGAGGAAGAGGAGGAAGAAGAACAAGAGGAGGAGGAGGAUGAAGGGGGAACACAGGAAACAAUUGGUCCCUGCUUUCCCCUGACGGUGGUGGUCUCCUUGCUCCCGGGUGGUUGUCUUCACAUUUUUCUGCCUCCGCCUCCACAGUGCUUCCCAAAGGCUCCCCAAACACCACGACAGGCCAGCUGAGAAACAGAGCCUGGAGACACCCUCUUCCUCGGGGACCUUUCCUCAUGGCACCCUAACCUCCCUCCAAGAGACUCCCUCCCCACCCAACAACCCAUCCCUCCCUCCUCCCCUCAGUGCCAGGCACAUUCUCCCCUCCCAAAGUCUCCCGUCCCAUCCCAACAACCCAUCCAUAUUCUUCACUUGGUGGGCAAUGCUUGGCUGCUUGCCUUCUGAGACCUUCCUCAUGUACUUGGCAAUAUAGCCGUAGUGUUAA